ACUGUCCUAUUCUUAGCAUAAACACUGUUGACAGAGUUUAAUUUCUACCAAAUGUUUUUGAAUUUUUUCACAAUUUAGACCAAAAGAAAAAUUUUUUUUCUUUACAAGACUGCUGGGGGGAGGGGGGCGGUAUUAUGGAAUAAAUGCUUGCUAUCCCUGGGACUCUUUGAGUAGAGGCUGUUUGUAGUAAGAGGGGUCCUGAGAGAGAGAUAAGCUGUCUGACCUUGGAGGUCUCCCUAAAUUUGGGGAUAUUUUUACUAUAAUUCCUAUUAAUGACAUUUUGGUUUAUAACAGCCAAUGUUUACCCAAACUUGCUCUCCCCUUACUUUACAAAAAAAAAUCAUAACAGCAUUGCUGAACUUUCAGAUUUAGUGUCUGCUAUAAAGUAACUCUGUUCGUCCAUAUUCCCCUUAGACUGUGACUUCAAGGAUGUUAAUUUCCUACUUAUAGCAAGUCACGAUUACUAGAAAGCAAAUGAAGAAAAGACUCACCCUAUUUUAAAGAGAUGGAAAGAUUCAUAGACAGAAUUGAUACCAGGUGAUUUUAUAUCAAGCUACUGGUUCCUAGACCCCACAUGAAAUUAUUGGCAUAGAACUCUACUGUUGGCCAAAGAGUCUUCACUUGGCUUAGUCAUACUGCUAAAAUAUUCAGAUUUGAUUUUAUUUUCUUAGUGAUUUCACAUGUCUUGUAAGCUCCCUCUCAGAAAUACUACAGAUCUGACCCAACUUGUGUCAGAGCUGUAUGUAGUAGCAGAAAGCUAUUCUAAAGAAGUAUUUUCAACCUUUUUAAGUAGUUUCUAUUGGGAAUCAGGUAAAGACUCUCAAAUGAAAGCCAAUUCAAUUUAUUCUGGAAUCAGAGUUUUCAUUUCUUUCAGCAUCAAUAUUAAAUCUCAUACACAUCAUGUAAGGGUAACUGUACCUUUUAAUACUUUCUAAGGCAAUAGUCCUAGUGAUUUUUUAAAUUAGAAAAUGUUUUGUAUACAAGGAAAAGUACUAAAAAAUUUCAGGAUUUUUAAAAAG
This 1019-nucleotide long non-coding RNA is filed under the name Heterocephalus glaber (naked mole-rat). RNAcentral describes it as "lncRNA (ENSHGLG00100049875.1)". The record is from RNAcentral. Lineage: Eukaryota; Metazoa; Chordata; Mammalia; Rodentia; Bathyergidae.